RNAcentral lists this ribosomal RNA (253 nucleotides) under uncultured bacterium. RNAcentral's name for it is "partial 16S ribosomal RNA". It matches the Rfam family "Bacterial small subunit ribosomal RNA", at positions 524 to 776 of the family's 1533-position model. The record is from RNAcentral.
UACGUAGGGGGCAAGCGUUGUCCGGAUUUAUUGGGCGUAAAGAGCGUGUAGGCGGCCCGAUAAGUCCGCUGUGAAAGUCCAGGGCUCAACCCUGGAAUGCCAGUGGAAACUGUCGGGCUGGAGUCCGGAAGAGGCGAGUGGAAUUCCUGGUGUAGCGGUGAAAUGCGCAGAUAUCAGGAGGAACACCGGUGGCGAAGGCGGCAUCCUGGACCAAUAUUGACGCUGAGGAGCGAAAGCCAGGGGAGCAAACGGG